AUACAGAGGAAAAGGACUGGAACCUGCUGUCAGAAUAUCUCUCUCAGCCUGAGGAGCAGGCAGACCAACUUCCCAAAUAGGGGAGAACCACUCAAAACCCACUAGUUGUUCUUUCAAAGAAAAUAAUACAAAUAUGGUAAGUCCGAAGACCGCUCGUAUUAUCAACCUUACUACAAUGGCAGCAAAUAUUUUUAUCAAUUCAGUAACACAUAAUGAAAGGAAACGUUAAUUAUAUCACCUCUUUUCCUGAAGUGAAUGGUUUCACCCACUACUCUCCCGGAACUGAGGCUUUGAGAUCUACAUUGCGCGCGAGGUUGAUGGAAACUCUACAUUUUCACUUUGUUACACCUUUGGUUAUAUCAGCUGUGUCGGUGAACCCCUCCUGCAUCUGAACUGGCUACAUAGGGGGCACAGCAUGAUCAGAGGUUAGAGGUCACUUGGUCAGGUCAACAGGAAGUAUUAUUAAAGAGAUGCUUUACAUUGAAAUACAGAUAGAUAUGUUUUGAUGUGAGAGGAUGCCAACCCCCAGUCCCAUCAUCGCCACCUCACCUGCUUUUAAGAACCUUUGGGCCGAUGAGAGACACUAUUGUGUAAUUGUGAUGAACUGAGAGAAUAUUUAGGUAGCACUGUGAUUCAUUAAUCAUGUGCUGCCUUCCCUGCUCCUGUGUGCUUACCUCUUUCCCUUUCUGUCUUUUACACCUCUUUCUUCCUCUGUUUUUAUAAUGCACAACACAUCUGCAUUGAAGUACAGAUUGAACUUGUAUUUAUAACACUUGGAUAAAUGAGCUUUUCAAUAAAGCAUUUCACAUUCUCUACUGGUUGUAAUUAAGUCUCAUUUGAUGAAAUACUACACCUAUCCUGUGUUUAUCAGAUCAAUGCAGAUGAAGGGCAUUAGAUAUUGAGAUGAACCGGUGUGAGACUAUUUACAUGA
This is a long non-coding RNA of Salmo salar (Atlantic salmon), 931 nucleotides long. RefSeq lists it as uncharacterized. Lineage: Eukaryota; Metazoa; Chordata; Actinopteri; Salmoniformes; Salmonidae. The record is from RefSeq and is a predicted model, not a curated record.